This 305-nucleotide ribosomal RNA is filed under the name uncultured bacterium. RNAcentral's name for it is "bacterial SSU rRNA". It matches the Rfam family "Bacterial small subunit ribosomal RNA", at positions 335 to 638 of the family's 1533-position model. The record is from RNAcentral.
UGCCUACGGGACGCAGCAGUGAGGAAUAUUGGUCAAUGGGCGGAAGCCUGAACCAGCCAAGUCGCGUGAGGGAAUAAGGCCCUACGGGUCGUAAACCUCUUUUGCCGGGGAGCAAGGGCCGGGACGCGUCCCGGCCCGGAGAGUACCCGGAGAAAAAGCAUCGGCUAACUCCGUGCCAGCAGCCGCGGUAAUACGGAGGAUGCGAGCGUUAUCCGGAUUUAUUGGGUUUAAGGGUGGCGUAGGCGGGCUUUUAAGUCAGCGGCAAAAAUUCGGGGCUCAACCCCGUCCGGCCGUUGAAACUGGGG